UAGACAAUCGAAAACAAAAGUUCAUAUUUACACUAUUAUAUAUAUAUAUAUAUAUAUAUAUUUUUUUUUUCAGUAUGUGGACCAAAACAUUUGCAACAGGUCCAAAAAUGGAACCAAGAGAAGUUAUUAUUAAAAAAAUUACAGAAAUGGGAUUUACAGAAGACCAAGAAAAAGUACAAAAAAAAAAACAAAACAAACAAAACAAAAAUUAUACAAUAUUAUCUAAAAAAAAAUUAUGUUUUGAGGAAUUAAUCUUAUUUUAUAAUUUUUUUUCUCUAUUUUUUGUAGAACGCUUUGAUAAAGGCAGAUUGGAAUGAAACAGUGGCAUUAAAUACCCUACUAGAGAAUUUAUAAUUUAUUCAUUAGACAAAAUUACAUUACUAUUACGUUGUUUAAUACAAAUAUUUUUUUCUUAAAAAUGUUUAGCAUAUAAAAUUAAGAAUGUUGUUAAUUUUUUUUCUUUUCUUAUUUUUUUUCUUAAUUCAAAUAUUUACAUUUUAUUAAUAUUACCAUUUUUAAUAUAUAAAAAAUUUUGUUUAUUUUAUAACAAUUUUAAAUGAUUUAUUUUAUGUUUUUUUUUUUUUUUUUUCACGUAUAAUUUUGUUUAAAUUAAAUAAAAUUUUUUUCUCUUUAAAAAAAAAUUAAAAA
This 648-nucleotide long non-coding RNA is filed under the name Piliocolobus tephrosceles (Ugandan red Colobus). Its description in RNAcentral is "lncRNA (ENSPTEG00000015234.1)". Lineage: Eukaryota; Metazoa; Chordata; Mammalia; Primates; Cercopithecidae. The record is from RNAcentral.